RNAcentral lists this ribosomal RNA (253 nucleotides) under uncultured bacterium. RNAcentral describes it as "partial 16S ribosomal RNA". It matches the Rfam family "Bacterial small subunit ribosomal RNA", at positions 524 to 776 of the family's 1533-position model. The record is from RNAcentral.
UACGGAGGGUGCAAACGUUGCUCGGAAUCAUUGGGCGUAAAGCGCACGUAGGCGGUCCGGUAAGUCGGAUGUGAAAGCCCCGGGCUCAACCUGGGAACUGCAUUUGAAACUGGCGGGCUUGAGUGUGGCAGAGGGGGGUGGAAUUCCGCGUGUAGCAGUGAAAUGCGCAGAUAUCAGGAGGAACACCGGUGGCGAAGGCGGGUCUCUGGGCCGAUACUGACGCUGAGGAGCGAAAGCGUGGGGAGCAAACAGG